Molecule: transfer RNA, 71 nt
Filed under: Marmota monax (woodchuck)
Lineage: Eukaryota; Metazoa; Chordata; Mammalia; Rodentia; Sciuridae
Description: tRNA.Val
Source: RNAcentral
GGGGUUGUGGGUUAGUGGUAGAACACUUGCCUUACAUGUAUGAGGCACUGGGUUAAAUUCUCAGCACUACA